RNAcentral lists this ribosomal RNA (469 nucleotides) under uncultured bacterium. Its description in RNAcentral is "partial 16S ribosomal RNA". It matches the Rfam family "Bacterial small subunit ribosomal RNA", at positions 355 to 813 of the family's 1533-position model. The record is from RNAcentral.
UGGGGAAUUUUGGACAAUGGGCGAAAGCCUGAUCCAGCAAUGCCGCGUGUGUGAAGAAGGCCUUCGGGUUGUAAAGCACUUUUGUCCGGAAAGAAAUCCUUGGCUCUAAUACAGUCGGGGGAUGACGGUACCGGAAGAAUAAGCACCGGCUAACUACGUGCCAGCAGCCGCGGUAAAUACGUANGGUGCAAGCGUUAAUCGGAAUUACUGGGCGUAAAGCGUGCGCAGGCGGUUUACUAAGACCGAUGUGAAAUCCCCGGGCUCAACCUGGGAACUGCAUUGGUGACUGGCAGGCUAGAGUAUGGCAGAGGGGGGUAGAAUUCCACGUGUAGCAGUGAAAUGCGUAGAGAUGUGGAGGAAUACCGAUGGCGAAGGCAGCCCCCUGGGCCAAUACUGACGCUCAUGCACGAAAGCNUGGGGAGCAAAACAGGAUUAGAUACCCUGGUAGUCCACGCCCUAAAACGAUGUC